CAUGCAAGUCGAGCGGUAGAGAGAAGCUUGCUUCUCUUGAGAGCGGCGGACGGGUGAGUAAUGCCUAGGAAUCUGCCUGGUAGUGGGGGAUAACGCUCGGAAACGGACGCUAAUACCGCAUACGUCCUACGGGAGAAAGCAGGGGACCUUCGGGCCUUGCGCUAUCAGAUGAGCCUAGGUCGGAUUAGCUAGUUGGUGAGGUAAUGGCUCACCAAGGCGACGAUCCGUAACUGGUCUGAGAGGAUGAUCAGUCACACUGGAACUGAGACACGGUCCAGACUCCUACGGGAGGCAGCAGUGGGGAAUAUUGGACAAUUGGCGAAAGCCUGAUCCAGCCAUGCCGCGUGUGUGAAGAAGGUCUUCGGAUUGUAAAGCACUUUAAGUUGGGAGGAAGGGCAGUAAAUUAAUACUUUGCUGUUUUGACGUUACCGACAGAAUAAGCACCGGCUAACUCUGUGCCAGCAGCCGCGGUAAUACAGAGGGUGCAAGCGUUAAUCGGAAUUACUGGGCGUAAAGCGCGCGUAGGUGGUUUGUUAAGUUGGAUGUGAAAGCCCCGGGCUCAACCUGGGAACUGCAUUCAAAACUGACAAGCUAGAGUAUGGUAGAGGGUGGUGGAAUUUCCUGUGUAGCGGUGAAAUGCGUAGAUAUAGGAAGGAACACCAGUGGCGAAGCGACCACCUGGACUGAUACUGACACUGAGUGCGAAAGCGUGGGGAGCAACAGGAUUAGAUACCCUGGUAGUCCACGCCGUAACGAUGUCAACUAGCCGUUGGGAGCUGAGCUCUUAGUGCGCAGCUAACGCAUUAAGUUGACCGCUGG
RNAcentral lists this ribosomal RNA (819 nucleotides) under uncultured bacterium. Its description in RNAcentral is "bacterial SSU rRNA". It matches the Rfam family "Bacterial small subunit ribosomal RNA", at positions 54 to 873 of the family's 1533-position model. The record is from RNAcentral.